Molecule: ribosomal RNA, 467 nt
Filed under: uncultured bacterium
Lineage: Bacteria
Description: partial 16S ribosomal RNA
Rfam family: Bacterial small subunit ribosomal RNA
Source: RNAcentral
GAUGAACGCUGGCGGCGUGCUUAACACAUGCAAGUCGAACGGAAAGGCCCAAGCUUGCUUGGGUACUCGAGUGGCGAACGGGUGAGUAACACGUGGGUGAUCUGCCCUGCACUUCGGGAUAAGCCUGGGAAACUGGGUCUAAUACCGGAUAGGACCACUUCUUGGAUGUUGUGGUGGAAAGUUUUUUCGGUGUGGGAUGAGCUCGCGGCCUAUCAGCUUGUUGGUGGGGUGAUGGCCUACCAAGGCGUCGACGGGUAGCCGGCCUGAGAGGGUGUACGGCCACAUUGGGACUGAGAUACGGCCCAGACUCCUACGGGAGGCAGCAGUGGGGAAUAUUGCACAAUGGGCGCAAGCCUGAUGCAGCGACGCCGCGUGGGGGAUGACGGCCUUCGGGUUGUAAACUCCGUUCGCUAGGGACGAAGCGUUUUGUGACGGUACCUGGAGAAGAAGCACCGGCUAACUACGUG